UCCUACGGGGGGCAGCAGUGGGGAAUCUUGCGCAAUGGUCUAACGACUGACGCAGCGACGCCGCGUGUGGGAGGACGCCCUUCGGGGUGUAAACCACUGUUGCCCGGGACGAAUAAGCUGUUUCGACAGCUCUGACGGUACCGGGUGAGGAAGCACCGGCUAACUCCGUGCCAGCAGCCGCGGUAAUACGGAGGGUGCGAGCGUUGUCCGGAAUCACUGGGCGUAAAGGGCGCGUAGGCGGCGCGGUAAGCGUGCGGUGAAAGCCCGGGGCUCAACCCCGGGUCGGCCGUGCGGACUGCCGGGCUCGAGCACUGUAGAGGCAGGUGGAAUUCCGGGUGUAGCGGUGGAAUGCGUAGAGAUCCGGAAGAACACCGGUGGCGAAGGCGGCCUGCUGGGCAGUGGCUGACGCUGAGGCGCGACAGCGUGGGGAGCAAACAGGAUUAGAUACCCCGGUAGC
This 457-nucleotide ribosomal RNA is filed under the name uncultured bacterium. RNAcentral describes it as "bacterial SSU rRNA". It matches the Rfam family "Bacterial small subunit ribosomal RNA", at positions 337 to 794 of the family's 1533-position model. The record is from RNAcentral.